CCACCCCACAGGGACUCCAGGCACACUGCCACUAAUGUCUGGCCCCUCCCCUCCUCUUCCUGCUCCGUCUUCUCCCCUCUCAUCUCCCCUGAGGGCUUCUCCAGCCUCUAUGGUUUUCCUAGCCCCUUACUCUCCCCAACAUCCAGCCCUGCCUCACAGUCCCCUAAGACCCCCCUCCUUGUCCUCUUAGCACCACCAGCCCUGAAGCUGUCUGUGAACGAAACUCUGGUGGUGAACCCUGGGGAGAAUGUGACGGUGCAGUGUCUGCUGACAGGCGGUGAUCCCCUCCCCCAGCUGCAGUGGUCCCAUGGGCCUGGCCCACUGCCCCUAAAUGAUACAAAACUUUGAGCACAGUCUAAAGAAGUAUAAACAUUUUUCUUAACGUGCUUUUAUUGAGUCCCUGUUAAUAUGCCAGGCACUGUGCUAGGUCCUGGGGUAGAGCGGUGGGCAAAACAGGCUCUGCCCUCAUAGAGCUUAGGAGGAAAGGCAAACACGUUUCAGAUAGUCUCACAAAUAAAUAUAUCAUUGCAAACUGUGAUACAUGAGAGCCUGGAAAGAGUUCCCUGAGGGCAGUGCAGCCUCAAAGGGAGAGACUACUCUUUAGCCUGUACGGUGUGUAGAGGGCUUGGGAGUUGGAAUGUCUUAGUAGAACUAGAGCAGGGGCCCAGGGCUGUUUCCUCCAUUUGGCUCAUAGGCCUGAUGUCUAGGGCAUGGAAGUGUCUUAAGGGCCCGGAA
This 735-nucleotide long non-coding RNA is filed under the name Homo sapiens (human). RNAcentral describes it as "non-protein coding lnc-CCDC167-4:1". Lineage: Eukaryota; Metazoa; Chordata; Mammalia; Primates; Hominidae. The record is from RNAcentral.